AAAACGACAAACCCUGGAUUUCCAUGUCCAACGUUUGAUUGUCCGUCUUAUAUGAAAUUUUUUUAUAAUUAUUAUUUUCAUUGUUGUUAGAUGAUAAAACAUGAUUAAUAUUUUAUGCGUGACUUGUCUUUUUAUUUUUUUUUCAUAAUUUUUUCAAAUAAGACGGACGGUCAAACAUUGGACACGGAAACCUAGGGUUUGUCUUUUU
Molecule: microRNA precursor, 208 nt
Organism: Oryza sativa Japonica Group (Japanese rice)
Lineage: Eukaryota; Viridiplantae; Streptophyta; Magnoliopsida; Poales; Poaceae
Rfam family: MIR812 microRNA precursor family
Source: Rfam